CCUUUCCAACUUCUCACUCUCAUUCUGCCUCAUUUUCAGAAACUGAUCCCUUCCCCCUCACAAUGUUGAAGCAGAGAACUCUGCUAGGGCAUAAGCUCAUUUUCCCUCCGAGCUAGCUGAGCUCAUUUUCCUCCAAUUCGUCAUUGGAGCUGUGGUGCUCUUCUUUGGGUGUCAGUGUUGAUUGGCUAGCAUUUGUCCAGUGUGAGCAGAUGUGAAAAUCCCUAGUGGUCAUCUGGAUGAUGAGAACGCUGCAGUUUAGUAUGCAUGAGUUGGAUCCUGCUCUAUGGAGCAUCUUUUGGGGCAUUGUCGCCUGUGUAAUUUCUUACUCUAUGAGCAGUCUUUUGUAAAUAGUUGCACUCUUAUGUUUUGUUUAUUGACAUCAUGGUAUGCCUUAGUUCCUUUCCGAGUAUGUUUAUAAAUGACUGUAUCAGGGAA
Molecule: long non-coding RNA, 435 nt
Organism: Vigna unguiculata (cowpea)
Lineage: Eukaryota; Viridiplantae; Streptophyta; Magnoliopsida; Fabales; Fabaceae
Source: RefSeq, a predicted model, not a curated record